RNAcentral lists this long non-coding RNA (254 nucleotides) under Elaeis guineensis (African oil palm). Its description in RNAcentral is "long non-coding RNA (EGUI_LNC029902)". The record is from RNAcentral. Lineage: Eukaryota; Viridiplantae; Streptophyta; Magnoliopsida; Arecales; Arecaceae.
ACAUCCUAUUCCUACAAUGAACUUACUGCAGCCAACAUACAUUUCAUUGCUUCAUAUGGCUAGGAGAUCGAGUUAUGGUAUAGUCAAACUAUAGCAAUCUCAUUGUGAACAGUCAAGGCACCGUAGUUCAAAGAACUACUCAUACUACUACAGUAUCGAGAAUGUCACUAAUAAUUGAGUAGACAUCCAAGUGACUUCUCGUGUGGGUCACGCUCAGUACCGUUAUUCUCUAACAAUCACCUACACUCUCACUC